AUAUUUUCCAACAAUUUUGUGACCUCCUUGAAUAUGAAGGGGAAAGGUGGAAAUAUGCUUUAAGAGCACUAAUUUAUAUGGUGUAGUGAAAGUUCAUGUAAUUUUUUCAAAAUCGAAUAUGUGGAAAGGAGCUGUUUGGAAUGAAGAUUUACGAGAAGAAGUAAUUCUAUCUAAUUGGAUUAGUGAUAAAACUGUUUGUCGGCUUCCAAGUACCAAAGCAUUGGCUGCACUAAAAUGCAGAGAAGAAUUGGUUUAAAUUUAUACAAAUAAAAACUAAAUUUACUUAAGAGUAUAUUUGAAAAGUUAUAUGGCAUCGACGGAUAUGAAGGGCAAAAGUGGAAAAAAUGUUUUAAGAACACUAAUCUAUAUGGUGUUGAAAAAGAUAUACCUUCAUAAGUUGUAACACUUUUCCAUUCUUUAUAUAUUUUUUAAAUUUUCCCUUUUUGAUUUUUUUUAUAUAUUUUUUUUAUUUACAGCUUUUUCUAUUGUAUUUGAUGGACCAAAAGAAACCUCGGUUAAUGGAACAUUGUUUAACUUUCUAAAUUACGCUCUAUUUCAAAAAGGUGGUGGAAAAGAGAAGAAAUUUAUGAAGAUUUUAUUCAAUUAAAUG
Long non-coding RNA from Hydra vulgaris (swiftwater hydra), 610 nucleotides. RefSeq lists it as uncharacterized. The record is from RefSeq and is a predicted model, not a curated record. Lineage: Eukaryota; Metazoa; Cnidaria; Hydrozoa; Anthoathecata; Hydridae.